This is a long non-coding RNA of Grammomys surdaster, 689 nucleotides long. RefSeq lists it as uncharacterized. NCBI's taxonomy places the organism in Eukaryota, Metazoa, Chordata, Mammalia, Rodentia, Muridae. The record is from RefSeq and is a predicted model, not a curated record. The transcript has 4 exons.
GUAUCUUCUCAAGGAUCACCAAUGAUUUUUUUGUUUUGUUUUGGUUUUGUUUGUUUUUUGUUUUUGUUUUUUAUAAACAGGGUUGGAUUAUCUGCAGAUAGAAAUGACACUGGUCUUUAGCACAGCUUUUGAAAGCCAGCAGAGAUUGUCACUGGACUGACGUGAGAACUUUGACCAUGAUCACAGUACAAAAUGAGCCCACAACAAGCAGGUCAUUCUCCUGAUGAUCUCUCUCCCACAUCUUUCUGUUACAGCUAAGCAUCCUUUAAAGAAGGCUUCGAAACUGGUCCAGGUGGGAUGCUUCCAAACUCUGACAAUUCAAUUAUGAAAAUCCAAGACAGCAGCCAAGCUCUGGACGGAAAGGCAAGGGGCUUCACAAAGACAUAUCACUAUUAAAGGUCUCCUGGGCUGAAUCAGCCUCUACCUCCUCUUCUGGCAUAUGUCCCAUGAAUAUCUGAUCAUUUCAACAAAUGAGCAGCAUAAAUUCAAAACAAAAGCAAGCAGGACUGAUUUUAACAUUCGAGGUGGUUCCCAUUCCUUGACCACUGGAUCAAUCAGCACCUUCACAUGACAUAGGAUGCUCCUUGCAGAACUGACCUGGCAGGGAUGGGAACAAUACUUCAGGAUUAAGUCAGCAGCCUAGCAGAGGCACUUCCCACCGCUGGCAGAGACCCAGGCCUCCACUCAUA